GGGGAACCAGGACUUUUACUUUGAAAAAAUUAGAGUGCUCCAGGCAGGCCUAUGCUCGAAUACAUUAGCAUGGAAUAAUAGAAUAGGACGUGUGGUUCUAUUUUGUUGGUUUCUAGGACCGCCGUAAUGAUUAAUAGGGACAGUCGGGGGCAUCAGUAUUCAAUUGUCAGAGGUGAAAUUCUUGGAUCUAUUGAAGACUAACUACUUCGAAAGCAUUUGCCAAGGAUGUUUUCAUUGAUAAGGAACGAAAGUUAGGGGAUCGAAGACGAUCAGAUACCGUCGUAGUCUUAACUAUAAACUAUGCCGACUAGGGAUCGGACGAUGUUAUCUUUUGACGCGUUCGGCACCUUUCGAGAAAUCAAAGUGCUUGGGCUCCAGGGGGAGUAUGGUCGCAAGGCUGAAACUUAAAGAAAUUGACGGAAGGGCACCACCAGGGGUGGAACCUGCGGCUUAAUUUGACUCAACACGGGGAAACUCACCAGGUCCAGACACAGUGAGGAUUGACAGAUUGAGAGCUCUUUCUUGAUUCUGUGGGUGGUGGUGCAUGGCCGUUCUUAGUUGGUGGAGUGAUUUGUCUGCUUAAUUGCGAUAACGAACGAGACCU
RNAcentral lists this ribosomal RNA (604 nucleotides) under uncultured fungus. RNAcentral describes it as "SSU rRNA". It matches the Rfam family "Eukaryotic small subunit ribosomal RNA", at positions 737 to 1343 of the family's 1831-position model. Lineage: Eukaryota; Fungi. The record is from RNAcentral.